UACGUAGGGUGCAAGCGUUGUCCGGAAUUAUUGGGCGUAAAGAGCUCGUAGGCGGUCUGUCGCGUCUGCUGUGAAAACUCGGGGCUUAACCCCGGGCCUGCAGUGGGUACGGGCAGACUAGAGUGCGGGAGAGGAGAGUGGAAUUCCUGGUGUAGCGGUGAAAUGCGCAGAUAUCAGGAAGAACACCCGUGGCGAAGGCGGCUCUCUGGAACGCAACUGGCGCUGAGACGCGAAAGCGUGGGGAGCAAACAGG
Molecule: ribosomal RNA, 253 nt
Filed under: uncultured bacterium
Lineage: Bacteria
Description: partial 16S ribosomal RNA
Rfam family: Bacterial small subunit ribosomal RNA
Source: RNAcentral